RNAcentral lists this ribosomal RNA (407 nucleotides) under uncultured bacterium. RNAcentral describes it as "partial 16S ribosomal RNA". It matches the Rfam family "Bacterial small subunit ribosomal RNA", at positions 30 to 526 of the family's 1533-position model. The record is from RNAcentral.
AUUGAACGCUGGCGGCAGGCCUAACACAUGCAAGUCGAGCGGAGCGGCGGACGGGUGAGUAAUGCCUAGGAAUCUGCCUGGUAGUGGGGGAUAACGUCCGGAAACGGGCGCUAAUACCGCAUACCUUCAGCUGUGCCUAGAGGGGAUUAGCUUGUUGGUGGGGUAACGGCUCACCAAGGCUACGAUCCCUAGCUGGACUGAGAGGAUGACCAGCCACACUGGGACGGAAACACGGACCAGACUCCUACGGGAGGCAGCAGUGGGGAAUAUUGCACAAUGGGCGCAAGCCUGAUGCAGCCAUGCCGCGUGUAUGAAGAAGGCCUUCGGGUUGUAAAGUACUUUCAGCGGGGAGGCGUUACCCGCAGAAGAAGCACCGGCUAACUCCGUGCCAGCAGCCGCGGUAAUUC